Molecule: RNA transcript, 3247 nt
Organism: Malania oleifera
Lineage: Eukaryota; Viridiplantae; Streptophyta; Magnoliopsida; Santalales; Ximeniaceae
Gene name: protein WHAT'S THIS FACTOR 1, chloroplastic
Exons: 6
Source: RefSeq, a predicted model, not a curated record
AAUCCUAGAGCCGAAGGAAAGGGGGAGCAGAAGGAGAGGAAGAAGAUAAGUUGUUCGGCAGGCAACGGAGUGGGAGCCCGGAGCCCGGAGCCGGGAGCUGUAUAUCAUUGCUACUGAGUUUUAGAUCCUCCAGGGGCGAAGAAAAGACAGAAUCCAUCGACAUCUGUGCUGAGGUGCGGUGGUCGUGUCCUGCUCGGCAAGUGAGCCAUGGCAUGAAAAUUUUAGCAGUAGUACCUGAUUCAGCUCCUCCGCAAAAGCUGUUUAUGCAAGUGACGAAGAGUGAGAUUAGCGUGCAGUUGAAUACAUUUCUUAGCAAUCCGUUCAUAUGAUGCAGACCAUAAUCUUGUAAACUCAUCAAACCUGAAAAAUGGCAUUAUCCUUGCCCAUGUCAAUGCAACGAGAUAAAUCCUUCAUUUCCUUUAAUCACAAUGUCCUCAGCUCAGUGCCUCUGUGGAUGCCUAAAACCAUUCAUAGAAAGGGUAACAAUAAAAAGAUCCUUACUAUGUCCAUCUCUUGUUUGUCUAUAAAGAUUGUCCGUAGUCCUUCGCUGGACAAACAUGCUGAGAAGCAAAACAGGAUUCGGUUUGUUCAAAAGCUUAAAACGCUACUCCUUUCUAAGCCAAAACACUACAUGCCACUGCACAUUCUUUCCAAGUGUCGCUCCUAUUUGUCCCUCUCUAAAUCUCAUUCACUUCUGUCAAUGAUCCGCCGUUACCCUGCCAUUUUUGAACUCUUCAGCCUACCAUUACCACCUACACCAUUCAAUGCAGCCACAUCGUGCUCUCAACUUUGUGUCCGCCUAACCCCGGCAGCAGCAGCCCUUGCUGCUCAAGAAUCCAAACUCAAAUUGGACAUAUCCAUCACCUUGGCUACCAAACUCCAGAAACUUCUCAUGCUUUCCUCUCACCGUCGGCUCCUCUUGUCAAAGCUAGUUCAUCUAGCCCCUGAUCUUGGCCUCCCCCCUAACUUCCGUUCCCGCCUUUGCAAUGACCACACAGAUAAAUUCAAAACUGUUAACACCUCCUAUGGCCGUGCGCUUGAGCUUGUCUCAUGGAAUCCAGACCUGGCCAAUCCUUUUCCCUCUCGAAGUGUUGAGUCACUUGGAUUCAUAAUGGACAGGCCUUUGAAAUUCAAGCACUUAAGACUCAGAAAGGGGUUGAAUUUGAAGAGACGCCACCGUGAUUUUUUGAUCAGAUUUGAAGAAUUGCCAAAUGUGUGCCCAUAUAACACUGCACCUGGGGAGUUGGCCAAAGAGUCCAUUGAGUCCGAGAAGAGGUCUUGCAGCGUAGUGAGAGAAGUGUUGGGGAUGAUGGGUGAGAAGAGGACUUUGGUGGACCACCUAACACAUUUUAGGAAGGACUUUGGGCUGCCCAACAAGUUGUGGGCAAUGCUGGUGAGACAUCCUGAGUUAUUUUAUGUGAGUCCAAAGGGGCAGAGGGACUCUGUAUUCUUGGUGGAGGCUUUUGACGAUAAGGGGGUGCUUCUUGAGAAAGAUGAAAGCUUGGUGUAUAAGGAUCGGUUGCUGGAGUUGAUUAGGGAAGGAAAGAGGAUGAGACGAGAAUGGAGAAAGGGUAAUGUUAAGGGUGCUUGUGUUGAUAAGGACAAUGAUGUACAUGAUAAUGAGGUCUCUGAUGAGGAUGUCAGUGGUGAUUAUGAAUACAUUGAUGGUUUUGAGGAUCUGUUUGAGUGUGAGGAUGUCAUUGUUGAACAUGAUAAUGAUGAUGACGAGGACACUAAUGAGGAAGGGAAGUUCUGGACUGCAGAUGCUUCAUUCUUUCUUGAUGGCAAGGUUGGGGGACAUCUGCGCUCGUGGUAAAAUGGAUGUCACCAAUGCCUUAUCUUGUCAAAGAACAUAAAACAUCGAGCUGCAUCUGCUGGGGGUAUCAAGGCUUGAUAUACACAUUUUUGGACACAACCUUAAAGCCUAAAAUUUUAUCUUUAACAACUUAACUGUGUGUGGUUAAAAAUAAUUCUAGAGGCCAGUUUUUUGGAAUUUUAUAUGCAUGUCUGUUAAAACUAUUAUAAAAGUUAUUUUUUCAUACAGCAUUUGCUUACUGUCUAAGAUAGUCUUAGCAUAAUUUUCCUUUGACUCAGCUGCUCAAUUGGUUUCACUUGUUCACACACAGACAUUAAUAGAACUGAGCACUGGUGGUACAGAAAAUCUAUUGUAGAUGCCAAAACUGGGGCGGGGGGGGGGGGGGGGGUGGGGGAGAAACUAAUCUUGACAGAGUGAGAGGUGAGAUGUGGCUGGGAUUUUAGAAACCAUGUUCCAACGUAAGAAAUGUGAGCUAUAAUUUCAAACCAUAAGACAUGUCAUCACAGGAGAACUCAUCCAGUGAGAUGUUCAUGCCAUAUCAUAUGGCUGAUGCAUGCCUCAUUAGAUAUCAUGAAAUGUGGAAAAAAUGGAGAUGGCAUUGUUAGGCUCAUCACUCUCCUCAAAAUCCUGCCAGAGACAUGCCUAAAAUUACUUUUGAAGCUUAAAAGAUGAACUAUCAAAACAAGAGUAAAAUUAUUCGAAUUUUUUUGGUCCUUAAUCUGGAGAGAACUGGCUUGCUCUGUGGGAAUGAAGAUGGUGAUGUGUUGGCAAUAAGGCUACAUUUGCUGCUGUUGGUUGCUCUCAAGCCCAGAUUAACAGAUUAAAUGAUUCCGACAAUAUUUUAGGCAGCUGAUCCAGGCAGCAGAAAGGCACUUAGUGCCUCUUCAUUAUCGGUGUUUCAGUCUAUCCGUGUUAGCAUCAGUGAUUAUCAAGCUGAAAUAGAAUCUGGAUCAGGAAACAGGUUGUUUUAGAACCGUUAUCCUGGACAUCAAGAAAGAAGGGAAAAUUCCCUAUAGUUAAGCUCCUGCAACAGACAAUGCACGGAAAAAGCAAGAAAUUUCUCGUUGAUGGCUUUCCACAUAAUGAAGAAUUUUGAUUGCCUUUGAGAACAGUUGAAGGGAAGACUAGGUGCAACGGUAAAGUUGUCACUGUGUGACUGGAGGUCAUGGGUACGAGGUGUGGAAACAGCCUCUUGCAAAAAUGCAAGGAAUCCUUGUUCCUCUUCGGAUCCAAACUCAUGUAUGAGCGCUCUGAUGAUGCCAUGGCAGGUCAAAGAUGGUUUGUCACAAGAUUGAACAAUGUGAUUUGUUUUGCUUGGCUAAUUUUUUUCAUGUUGGACUGCUAAAUGAUGUUAGUAUGGGCUGGAAUUUUGAAUCUGUAAACUUGUCUGGACUCUAAUUUUUAUAAAUUAUGGUUCAUAUUACUUGAUAA